CGUCACUUCCUGUCUGCUACAUUCUUCUCAACAGAGGUGAUUCCUCAUUUUGUCUUCAUGCAGCCAUCAAACACACACGUGUUGCAAACUAUCACGAAAUCAUUCAGGGAAAAUGAAGUCAAAAGACGAGAACGUCGAGCAAGAAUGUGUCAGGAAGUACCUGGCCAGGUUGAGGCGCGCCCUUUGACCCCCGCUGAGCGUCACCCCUCCUUCAACAAGACUCCAGUGUAAACGCAAAUGUGGUCCCAAUGUGGCCUCGACGUCACUUGCAUGCGCACUUUGAUAAAGUGAAAACAAGGGAAGUUGACCGGGAGGAAGUCGUUACUACUACAAAAUAAAAUAAAAGUCUUCAC
This is a long non-coding RNA of Nerophis lumbriciformis (worm pipefish), 353 nucleotides long. RefSeq lists it as uncharacterized. The record is from RefSeq and is a predicted model, not a curated record. NCBI's taxonomy places the organism in Eukaryota, Metazoa, Chordata, Actinopteri, Syngnathiformes, Syngnathidae.